RNAcentral lists this long non-coding RNA (3591 nucleotides) under Homo sapiens (human). RNAcentral describes it as "HSALNT0364553". The record is from RNAcentral. Lineage: Eukaryota; Metazoa; Chordata; Mammalia; Primates; Hominidae.
UGGGCUCAAGCAUGCACAUUAAGAGGCAAAAACAUACGGAAUUUAACUGGUGUCUCACCUUCUAGGGACAUUUGACUGGUAAGGGAAGAACGCCUCAAGUGAGCAUGCAUACACCUCCAGUAAACACACUGCACAUGUGUUCCCUCCCAAGUGCUAGCAGGCUGCUGUGCAUGUGGACAGCCCACCCCAAGGGAAGAAUCAGGGCAGAAAUAACACAAGAUCCUGUAAGCAUGCCAAUGAGUCGGAAGGCGGAAUUGUGCCCUUGAUCUCUCAAGUCGCCCACUUGGCCCUCUUCCAAGGUUCAGGACAUGCUACUUGAAAAUAUGGCACCCCAGCAUAUUGAAUAUUUUGAGCUGAAGGAAUUCAAGAAACAGCAGAAGCAGGAAGGUUAUUCUCACCUUCCCUUCACCCUUCUCUCCUGAAGCAGGUGAGAAAUUCUUUCCCUAGAAAGAAUUUUCUGAUCUUCCACUGAAGCAGGUCAUGAGACCCUCAUUCCAGAAGUGUCCUUCCUAUACAUGGAGGACAGGAACCUCCUUAUCUCUGAAGACAUGGGGUCACAGAGAGAACACACACACACACACACACACACACACACACACACACACACACAGGCUUCACAUCUCUUAAAGCCCCAGGCCUUAUUGGCUUAUUGACUGUAAAUAGAUUUCUGUACACUAUAUUUAAUCACAUCAGUGUUUUUUCAGAUUCUCAACUUUACUCAGACCCUUAAAGGGAAUGUUAGAGAUAGACCAUGAGUGAUUAAAAGAAUAAAAGACUCUUGUUACAGAACCAGAUAGUAAGAGAAGAAUCUGAAUAGGCCUUGCUAAGUUCCCACCACUUCAGUACCAUUACAUAAUACCCCCUUGUUCAAUUCCACUCUUUGUCAAACUUAACAUAAAAAUACAUAAGUUUAAGUGUUUGAGUCUUUCUGAAGGCUCACGUGUUACAUAAAACACAGUAAAUAAAUUUGUAAACUUUUCUUUUGUUAACCUGUCUUUGGUUAUAGAGGCCUCAGCCAUGAACGUAGGAUGAGUGAGAAAGAGAUACUUCUCCUCCCCAAUAUCUACAAUCCUUUUGAAACCAAAUCCUCUCUUAACCCAUAGCCUUCUUUGCCUAAUGCUUAUUUUUCCCUAGACUGGACAUAUAAUGGGAGCUAGGGUGUUCAGGUACCACAUAUUCUUCCUCACCUAGAAACUUAAAUAUAAGCUACGCAAUGAGACGACCACACUUCCAUAUGCCUCAUCAAGACCUACAAUAACUGUGAGGCAGGCAUAGUGUUCAUUUCUGGCUUUGACACUCCAUGUGUAAGUCACCUAGCCUCUAACUCCUUCAGUUGUCUCCUUUCCAAAGUGAGAAUAAUGAUAGAAUUUACCUCACACAGUCAUUGUAAGCAUUAAGUUAGAUUAAAUUUGAUAAUUCAUAGAAAAUAUUCAACAUUUCUCAUACUUGUAUUAAGGCCCAUUACCCCAUUUGGUUGCAAGUACCUUGAGUUCAAACACUCAUUUUCUUCUCCUUUCAAUCCCUGGUAGUUUUAAGCAGACAGCAGAUUCUGGUAAUUUCUUUGAUAUGCCUCAUAAAAUCAUAUUGAGUUUGUGCUAUUUCUCAGUUUCAAGUAAUAAGAGCAGCAGAGAGGAAACCCAGGCAUUGAUGGACAAAAACAGGGACUUUUUUCUGUUCCUUGGUGGUCGAUCUGUGGUGAGAUGGUGAAGAGUGGGCAGGGCUCAGCCCUCAGGGAGCAGCUGUGUGGUCACAGUGAAAAGCAGCGCUGCUUCAUCCUACUCACGGGUGCAUGAACCUCCAGAAAGCAUCCACUCAGAGGGGAGAAAUAGGACAGGAGAGCAACUGGGAUAAAAACGUUUCAACUUAUCAUCUUAGUUUCAAAGAUGAAGCCGACUGCGACGUGAAGGUAGGAUUUAAAGCCAGUGGUCUUGAGACUUUUCCCAUGCUUAUGACCAUCUUUUGGCGAUGUGCCUGUAAUGAAGCUCUUAUCAGAAUUUUAAAAGCUUUCUUAAAAUGCGUUUAAUUUCCUUUUUCAUCUUCCAACUUAGAAGAAAUGCCAAUUAUUCUAAGUUGGAAGAUGAAAUUCGAAGAGAUGUCAAUUCAGUUGCACUUUGAUGAAAAUCUGACUUCAGGACAUUAGUUUGAACCAUAAGAGCCACCAGGAGGGUAGUGCCUUUUGCUGAGGAACCCACAGUCAUGCCUGUUGAGUUUCCCAAAACUUAUAUCUUGUCAAGUCAAUCCAACUUAAAAGACACUGAGGAAUCUGAAUAUCUUUUCUUGAGUCUUCUGGAGUCAAGACCAUGUGCUGUCAUAGAGCAUCCUUGGGAUGAAGGUCCAUCUCUCGCAUGGCACAACACACACUUUUUUGUGGAUGUUAGAUUAUUUUAAUUUGCUGAUAGUGCAUUCAGUAUGAGGUUGAUUUUUUACAACUGCUGAUUCAAAUACUGUCACAAAAUAUUUGAAAAUCGAUCUUUAUGUAUCACCAAGUAACUUUUCCAUAAGUAGUAUCCACAAAUACAAAAUCACUGAAUAUAAAUUUUCAGCUGUAUUUUCUGAUCUGGUUACAUAAAUGUUCUUUGAUUUAAAUUAAGCCAAAGUUGGAGCUAAACAGAUUUUCUGCAACCAUUUCAUCUUUAAGAUGAAGUUAAAGAUUUGCAUUUGAAAUCUCCCAUUAUUGAAUUGGAAGUAGCAGUUCCAGUUAAUGUCCAGCAUCCUCUGAAUGCCAAUGGUCUUUGAGUAAACAUAUGAACCUUCAUCGCUUUUAGUUGUUUAAGACACCACUUCACAUGAUCAGUAAGUAACAACAACAACCUCUUGGUAAAUGCACAUGAAUGCAAAUUCCUGUUUUAUAUAUUUGGGUAGAAGGAUAGAACAUAUUGAAAAUAACAGAUAAGUAUUUACAAAUUCUCACCUUAUUUUUCCCCUUUACAUUCAAUGGCUAAGUGUGGGGAUUCAUCUGUAAAUGCUCCCAGAAAUGGCACAAAAUUGUGCUAUAAUGGAACCAAACAACCACAGUGUUUGUUUGGGGUUUUGAUUUUUCUCCAAUAAAAGGUACUUAUUUAGACAGUAAAAUUUUUUAGUGACAAUAAAAAUUUAUAACAUAAAGAGCUUUUGUGUGUCCACAUUAGCCACAAACUAGGGCAAGUACUUUAUGUCUGUGUGUACACAUUUACACACACGCACACACACAAAACUGGACCAUGUUUCCAGGGUUCAGUGGAGGAAAAACUUUUUUCAUUGUUAAGUGUAAUGUUUUCAAAUAGAUGAAUCAGAAAAUUUUACAUAGAUGUAAGACCAUUUUGUAUGAACGGUAUCAAUCAUGUGCAUUGAGGGAUAAGUAGGGUAAAUGGUGUUUAAACAGCAUUCUAAAGAAAGGAUUAAAGCAUUCUAAAGGCCCAUGGGCUACUUUUUCCCAAAUUUCAGAGCUGGGAGUCCCCAGCAGGGGAUCCACAGAGCAGGCAAGAAGGAACCUGAAAUAAACUUCAGAGGAAAAACCGCAUGGGGAGUAACGUGGGUCAGCCCCUGUCCGCUGGGACCCAUUUUCAGGCAGACACUACAUGGCAAUGACAUCAUCACAAGAGUUAGUUAUAU